AGCUUUGCGCAGUGGCAGUAUCGUAGCCAAUGAGGUUUAUCUGAGGCACGAUUAUUGCUAAUUGAAAACUUUUCCCAAUACCCCGCUGUGACGACUUGCAAUAUAGUCGGCAUUGGCAAUUUUUGACAGUCUCUACGGAGA
Molecule: small nuclear RNA, 141 nt
Filed under: Tupaia belangeri chinensis (Chinese tree shrew)
Lineage: Eukaryota; Metazoa; Chordata; Mammalia; Scandentia; Tupaiidae
Description: Tupaia chinensis (Chinese tree shrew) U4 spliceosomal RNA
Rfam family: U4 spliceosomal RNA
About the family: U4 small nuclear RNA (U4 snRNA) is a component of the major U2-dependent spliceosome. The structure of U4 snRNA from yeast and human has been reported.
Source: Rfam by way of RNAcentral